RNAcentral lists this ribosomal RNA (162 nucleotides) under uncultured bacterium. Its description in RNAcentral is "partial 16S ribosomal RNA". It matches the Rfam family "Bacterial small subunit ribosomal RNA", at positions 1338 to 1500 of the family's 1533-position model. The record is from RNAcentral.
GUAAUGGCAGGUCAGCAUACUGCCGUGAAUACGUUCCCGGGCCUUGUACACACCGCCCGUCACACCGUGAGAGUUGGGAAUACCCGAAGCCUGUGAGCUAACGUUAAGAGGCAGCAGUCGAAGGUAGAAUCAAUGAUUGGGGUGAAGUCGUAACAAGGUAUC